GACGAACGCUGGCGGCGUGCUUAACACAUGCAAGUCGAACGGAAAGGCCCUGCUUUUGUGGGGUGCUCGAGUGGCGAACGGGUGAGUAACACGUGAGUAACCUGCCCUUGACUUUGGGAUAACUUCAGGAAACUGGGGCUAAUACCGGAUAGGAGCUCCUGCUGCAUGGUGGGGGUUGGAAAGUUUCGGCGGUUGGGGAUGGACUCGCGGCUUAUCAGCUUGUUGGUGGGGUAGUGGCUUACCAAGGCUUUGACGGGUAGCCGGCCUGAGAGGGUGACCGGCCACAUUGGGACUGAGAUACGGCCCAGACUCCUACGGGAGGCAGCAGUGGGGAAUAUUGCAAAAUGGGCGGAAGCCUGAUGCAGCAACGCCGAGUGCGGGAUGACGGCCUUCGGGUUGUAAACCGCUUUCGCCUGUGACGAAGCGUGAGUGACGGUAAUGGGUAAAGAAGCACCGGCUAACUACGUG
RNAcentral lists this ribosomal RNA (468 nucleotides) under uncultured bacterium. RNAcentral's name for it is "partial 16S ribosomal RNA". It matches the Rfam family "Bacterial small subunit ribosomal RNA", at positions 28 to 507 of the family's 1533-position model. The record is from RNAcentral.